Molecule: long non-coding RNA, 1092 nt
Filed under: Anser brachyrhynchus (Pink-footed goose)
Lineage: Eukaryota; Metazoa; Chordata; Aves; Anseriformes; Anatidae
Description: lncRNA (ENSABRG00000003598.1)
Source: RNAcentral
AUGGGGAUGAGGAGGAGGAGGGCGGCGGGGAGGACCCCGCUCUCCCCGGGAUGCGCCUCCUCCGCCCGGCUCUCCCUCUCUUUCUCUCUUCGGGGCCUGCCCGCUCCCCGCUGCUGUCCCGAGGCGCAGCCCGGCCCCGGCCGGCCGUCCCGCUCGCCUUCCCCGCCCCUCUCCCCGGCGGCCAGCCGCGCGGUGCACAGGCCCCGCCGGCGGCCAGCAGGACCCGGGGGCGACGGGGGGGGGAUCCGGGCCGGCCUCCCGGCCUCUCCCCGGGGCCUGGUACGCGAUCUCCGCGGGGAGACGAGGCCUGGCGAGGGGCGAGCGGCCCCGGGAAGGUCACCGGCACGGCGCUGCCGGGCACGGGGAAGCUUCCUCCGGCACCGCCGCCGCUACCGCUGCCGGCCCAGCCUCAGCGGCCGCUGGGUGCCGCGCUCUGCCCGGGCUCGCUCCGUGCCGCUACCCGGCAGCCGCCUCCGGGUCCGAGCGCCAGGCUGCCCCCUUCCCCUUUCUUUCUUUCUUCCUUCCUUCCUUCCUUCCUUGCCUCCCGCCCCUUCCCCGCUGCCAGCCUUCCCCCGCCGGCUCCCUCCGGCGCCCGGUGCCAGGCUGCCCCCUGCGGGUCCCGCCGCCGUAGGCUGCCCGCCGCCGGCGGCCCGAGGCGGAGGCGGGCUUGCAGGGCAGCUGCCGCUGCCUACCGGCGGCUACCGAGAACCGCCCGCUCGCCUCCGCCGCUCUGCCCGGGGCUCAGCGGCAGCUGCAGUGCCUGUGUGUCUGUGUCAUGUCUGUGCAUGGGCGGGCGGAGGCGCGGGGCCGAGGCGGAGCCAGCCCGUGACACACCGCCCAGCGACAGGCGCCCGGCGCCCAACCAGCGGCGGCCUCGCCGAGCGGCGCCCGGGGCCGCCGCACCUGGGCCCGGCCGCCGGGGUGAGUGAGGGGAGAGCCGGGGGUGCCCCCGGUCGGGGGCGGCGGGGUGUGCGGCCACGGGGUGCCCGGCGGCGAGCACCCGGCUUCCUACCGCCGGUAACACGCCCGAACCGAGCGCCUCCUCUGCCAGCCUCCCUGCCCGUGUCCUCCUGCGUGCCGGUGAAGCGAUGA